AUGAUGAUGGAUGGAUGGAUGAUGGAUGGAUGAUGGACGAUGGAUGGAUAUUUGUAUCCAGGUUUCCACACAAAAUGGAUCAAGCUGGUCAGAACUUCCCCCUGCAGAGGGAAGAGUUCUGACCAACCUGUACUGGACCCAGUCAGAACCGGGUCAGAACCGGGUCAGAACCCUCUGCAGACGGAGCGCCUGGCGUUCAGCACAUGAAUCUCUGUAAGACAUUUUCUAGAACACGAUCUGCUGAGUCAGCGUCUUAGCGGCUCUGGCCUGAUGCAGGAUGUUCUCCCUCACACUGUGACUCAGCACUCUUCCUCAUCAUCACCCUCCUCUUCCUCCUGAUCUCCAUAGCAGCAGAGUUUCAGCUGCAGAACGCUCAGCAGCUUUUAUUAGAUCUAGAAGUACCAGAGACAUCUUCAUCUUCAUCUUUGUCUUCGUCUUCAUUGUGAUGUGUUUUUCCAUCUGGGGAAGAAGCAGCAUUUAUGGCUCCAUACUGGGAACGUGGCAGUGGAUCAGAGUGGGAAGUGGAUCUGGAUCAACUUGUUCCCUCAGGAAAAACACAAACAUCUGAUAAAGUUUUUAUUUCUCAGGGAUUCAAACCGGCCACCAUGUUGCAUCUGAUGUGAUCCAGAAAAAGCUGAACAAUAUUCAGCUAAUGUCAAAUAUUCAUUAUGAACAGUUCAGUCUGAACAAUCUGCUACAGAGAGGACAGAUGGGCAGAAGGACCGUCCACCAUGGAGCGUCCUCCACCAGCUGGAUCCUGAUUGGCUCCUGUUUCAGUCUCACUUCCUCUGCAGAAAACCAGCUGGAUUACAACGAGAUUGAGAACCAGUAGAAGAGAGAUUGGACUGCAGGAGGAAGGUGGAGAACCUAGAGAGAACCCACUGGGAGACUCCAUGCAGGAAGGUUGGGAUUCAAACCCAAAACCUUCUCAGUGGUUCAGCCACCAGUUCAGAGCUGAAGGAAGAAAACUUGGAGGAAAAUUCAUCCAGAAACUGAACAACAUCAUCAUGUUAAAGAGUUCAGAUCCAAUCCAGUGAACGGAAGGACGAGCUGCUGAAGAUCGAAAGAACCAGAGAGUCACUGGUCCGUCUGUCUGUCCGUCCGUCCGUUCGUCCAUGGUGGAUGGACAAGUUAAGGGUGAAAAUCGAUAAAAUAACUUAUUCUGACUGGAAAAGCUUUUAAUUAUGACAGAAUUAAAUGCAUUUUUGCUUUUUUUACAUACAAAAGUUCUGAACCAGAACCUUUGUAUUCACUUGUUUCUGGUACGCCUGUAAAUCUGACGCACAGCUACAUCGGCUAACAGCAACGCUGUAGCAGCUUCUCUGGUUAAUUUCUGCUUCUUUUCUCCAGAAAAAACUGUUAUUGUGUUCAAGUUGUGCUAAAC
Long non-coding RNA from Xiphophorus couchianus (Monterrey platyfish), 1384 nucleotides. RefSeq lists it as uncharacterized. The record is from RefSeq and is a predicted model, not a curated record. The transcript has 3 exons. Lineage: Eukaryota; Metazoa; Chordata; Actinopteri; Cyprinodontiformes; Poeciliidae.